CCGGCGACCGGCGCACGGGUGAGUAACACGUAUGCGACCUGCCCCCCGCAGGGGGAUAACCGGGAGAAAUCCCGACUAAUACCGCGUAACGCCGCGGACCUGCAUGGGUCUGCGGCCAAAGGAAGCGAUUCCGGCGGGGGAUGGGCAUGCGGCGCAUUAGCUAGUCGGCGGGGUAACGGCCCACCGAGGCGACGAUGUGUAGGGGUUCUGAGAGGAAGGUCCCCCACACUGGUACUGAGACACGGACCAGACUCCUACGGGAGGCAGCAG
This 270-nucleotide ribosomal RNA is filed under the name uncultured bacterium. RNAcentral's name for it is "partial 16S ribosomal RNA". It matches the Rfam family "Bacterial small subunit ribosomal RNA", at positions 88 to 354 of the family's 1533-position model. The record is from RNAcentral.